This 253-nucleotide ribosomal RNA is filed under the name uncultured bacterium. RNAcentral describes it as "partial 16S ribosomal RNA". It matches the Rfam family "Bacterial small subunit ribosomal RNA", at positions 524 to 776 of the family's 1533-position model. The record is from RNAcentral.
UACAGAGGUCUCAAGCGUUGUUCGGAUUCAUUGGGCGUAAAGGGUGCGUAGGUGGCGCGGUAAGUCGGGUGUGAAAUCUCGGGGCUUAACUCCGAAACUGCAUUCGAUACUGCCGUGCUUGAGGACUGGAGAGGAGACUGGAAUUUACGGUGUAGCAGUGAAAUGCGUAGAGAUCGUAAGGAAGACCAGUGGCGAAGGCGGGUCUCUGGACAGUUCCUGACACUGAGGCACGAAGGCCAGGGGAGCAAACGGG